UAUUUGUAUUUUUUUUUUCCUUUUCUUUUCCUUAUCUGUUUCAGCUUGGUUUGUUUUGCCAGAGAAGUGAAAAUUUUGCUCAUUGUCGGAGGUUCUGUUUGUUCCUAUAGAAAAUUUGGGAGUUUCCCGGGAAAAAUUUUCGUUCUUUGAAGAAGGGUCUUUUUGUUUUGUUUUGUUUUUUUUAAAAUAAAAAUAAAAAUUCAGUGCCACUGUGUUGUAAGUUAAAUUUUGAAUUUUGGUUUGUUUCUAUAUUUAGGCUGCUUUUGUUAUCCGAGAAAAGUAUGGGCAUUUUCUCGGGAAAAUGGCAAAUUUUGUGUGUUUUCCCCUCUGUCGGGGUUUGGUUUGUUUGGUAGCAGAAGUGGAAAAUUUUCCGGGAAAGUUUCUCCUGAAAAAUGUUAGUAACUUCUCGGAAAGUUUUCUCUUUAGAAGGAAAUUGGCGUCGUCUGUUCUUGUUCCAACUGAGUGCCACUGUGUUGAAUUUUGAAUUUCGUCCCUUUCUCUGUUUCUUUUCCAUUUGUUUUGCUAGAAAAACAUAGAGCUUUUUUCUAUAGAAAAUUUGGGCAUUUUCAGGGAAAUAUUUUGUUUUGAAACCGUAUUGGUUUUUCUAGUCUUGAGAUUGAGUUUCACAUUGUUGAAUUUUAAAUUUUUGUUGUAUCUCUGUUUUAGGCUCGCUUGCUUUGCUAGAAAAGUGGAACAAGUUUCUAGGGAAGCUUCAAUGGAAAAUUUAGUCUAGUCCUGAAAGAGGUCCCUUUUCUUUGGAGAAGGUUUUGGAUUUGAAAUUGGCUCUCGUUUUUUCCAGACUUUUCUGUGUUAGGCAUGAUUUAUUUCCCUGAAAAGCAGAAGAAUUUUUCUGGAAAAGUUUCAACAGAAAUUUUGGGAGGAAAACUCUUUGUUGGAAGAAAAAUAGAAAAUUUUCUCGGAAGGUUUCUUGAAUGCUUUGAAUUCAAACUUUAAUAUUUUCACAGGUUUGUUUUCAGUGUUUGCUUUCUAAUUCUCUGUCACAUUGUGUGGCAGUAAGUUCAGUUUUCUUUCAAAUCCUACUAUGACUGUUUGCUUGUUGAGAAAAUUCAGGGCAAAGAAGAAAACUUGGAUUUUGUUGGAUUGUUUUAUGUUGUAAGUUUCAAUGUCAUUAUUUUUUUUUUUUCUAGUUGAACUGACUGUGAAGCAUUGAACUUAAAAUUAACUAUUUACUGCAAGAUUGCACCACAAGAAUUGAUAGGGAAAAAAAGUUUUGAAUUCAGGAUAGUGGAUUAACUGAGGACCUUUUCUAUGUUCCAACUUUUAAUUUAUUUUCGUGUGAUUUCUCAACAAUCAAAUAGGGGAAUUAGUUAAUAUUAACAAUACGUUAUGGUGCACUGAAUGCAAGUGCCUUGUACUUGUUCGGGCCAGUUUAUGGUGCAUAUUGUUGUUCAUUGCCCCAUCUAUGUUCGCUUCAGUGUGGGAGUCUAUUGUGGGAAUGUUUGAGUCUGAAAACUGUUGAUGGCAUGGGCAUCCUGCUAUUCAUCUAAAGUGAGGAAGCUGACUUUAAGUAACACCUGUCGAUACUCUUACUACAUGUUUCAUUUCACUUGUCAGAAUCCCUUUCUCAAUAGCAGAGAGAUUUGAGAAUGCAUAAAGGAACUUCCCAUGGAUUGCCAAGGUGGAGGAGUUGAAGUAUCAUCUGAUAAGCUGGGACAAUUUGCACUUCUGUACAAAGACAGGGAUUUGGAAAUUUAAUUGAUCAUAAAUCUAAAUUUGAAAUUGGUGGAUAAGUACUGUUAGGGAAGUUGGAGUGGAUAAUGAAAGUUGAAGAUUACAGUAGUGGCAUUAAAUGAGUGCAGUGGCAAUUAAAUGGAGAAUAGGUGUGUUUUUCUCCGAUAUGAUUGUAGGCUUUGGAGGGAGGUUUCCCUACAAUGGGGCAUCCUUUUAGUAACACUACUGUGUAAAGAUGGGUAGUGAGCAUCAAAUCAGGCUUCAAGAGGAUGUAUGGUGUGAUAAUAUCACUCACCCUUCAGCUGAAUUCACUAGCAAUUGGAUCAGAUGAAAAUGCUGCAAAAAUAAUCUUAGUGGCACUGGUGGAAUGUCUCAUUUCAAAGAAACUGGAAGGUUCAUUCUUAUGUGUAUCCUAGGGAGGUUUAUGACUUGGGAUGACAUGAAGUCUGUUACAAAACCUAGCAUUGAGGGUUUUUAGCCAAUUCUUUCCAUAUGUCUUUAGCUGUGAAUGAUGAUGUCAUGUUUUCCUUCAAUGGUUUUUGGUGACCAUGAUUCCUUUCAAGUUUUUCCCCUUCCUUUUUUUCUGGUUAGCAGUUAAUAAUAAUUUAGACUGUGGAUAACUUAGUUGAGAAAUCAGAUGGUUCCUACUUGGUGUGUUCUAUGCAAGUUUCAUCUAAAUCAGUCAAGCAUCUAUCUCUUACUCUAUCUUGUGAAGUUUUUCAAGGAAAUUUGAGCUUCAUUGCGUUAUGUCUCCAUCUUUAAUAAUGGUUAUGAAACCAUGGUCUGGAAGAUCAAUGGGAAUGUGGGAUAGGAUCAUCUGGAAGAAUCACUUUUUGUCAAAAAUUCUGUGGGCCAUAUGGAUGAAGAAACUGAAAAAAAAAA
This is a long non-coding RNA of Vitis riparia (riverbank grape), 2574 nucleotides long. RefSeq lists it as uncharacterized. The transcript is spliced from 2 exons. Lineage: Eukaryota; Viridiplantae; Streptophyta; Magnoliopsida; Vitales; Vitaceae. The record is from RefSeq and is a predicted model, not a curated record.